Astyanax mexicanus (Mexican tetra) is the source of this 3115-nucleotide RNA transcript. It is a transcript of the gene named C-C motif chemokine 14, with no coding region annotated. The record is from RefSeq and is a predicted model, not a curated record. The transcript has 4 exons. NCBI's taxonomy places the organism in Eukaryota, Metazoa, Chordata, Actinopteri, Characiformes, Acestrorhamphidae.
GAAAGUGUGCAAGAAUUCUUUAAACCAAGGCAGGUACAUGAAUUUGAGCACCCUUGUCAUUUUAUUGAUUUGAAUACUUUUUUACAAUUCAAAUUCACACAGGUGAAUCCAAUUAUGAGAAAGGGUUAAAGAGCCAAACACACGUUUUUCUCCUCUUUGUAUCUUCUCUGAAGAGCAGCAACAUGGGAGCCUCAAAACAACUCAACUCAAAUGACCUGAAAACAAAGACAGUUCAACAUCAUGGUUUAGAGGAAGAAUAUAAAAAGCUCUAAUCUAAGAGAUUUCAGCUGCAGUUUCCACUGUGAGGAACAGAGUGAGGAAAUGGAAGAACCACAGACACAGUUCUAGUCAAGACCUGAAGUGUCAGAACAAGAAAAAUCUCAGAUAAUCAGAGGAGAAGGAUGGAGAGAACAGUUAUAGUCAACCUACAAACCUCCAGACCAGCUCCAAACACCUACAACUUCAUUAUCCUGCUGCAGAUAAGUGUCACUGUGCAUCGUUCACUAUUCACUAUUCAGCGCACUUUGCACAAGGAGAGGCUGUAUAGAAGAGAAAUGCAGAAGAAGCCAUAAACAGAGUCGCUUGAGGUAUGCUAAAGCUAAAGCACAUUUAGACAAGCCAGCUUCAUUCUGGAAUAAGGUUCUGUGGACUGAUGAAACUAAAAUUUUGGAGUUAUUUGGAGGAUGGUUAUUUAUGCAUGGAGGAAAAAGAACACAGCAUUCCAACACAAACACUUUCUUGCUCCUCACUGUAAAAUGUGGUGGUGGUUCCAUCAUGCUGUGGGACUGUGGGACCAGUGCAGGUACUGGGAAUCUUGUUAAAAUUGAGGAUCUCAUGGAUUCCAGUCAACAUUAGCAGAUUCCUGAGAACAAUGUUUAAGAAUCAGUGAGAAAGUUGAAGUUAAAGCGCCGGGGCUGGAUACUUCAACAAGACAACGACCCGAAACACUAAACACUGUUCAAAAUCUACUAAAGUAUUAAAGCAUUCAUGCAGAGGAACAAGUACAAUGUUCUGGAAUGAUCAUGUCAGAUCAUCCCAGUCCCCAGACCUGAAUAUUAUUGAAAAGCAGGCUGUUCAUGCUCAAAAAACCAUUAAACCUGACUGAAUGAUCCAAAAUACCUUCAACCAGAAGCCAGACUCUCAUUGGAAGCUAUAGGAAGAAUUUAGAUCAGGGGUGUCCAAACUUUUUUUGUUGGGGGCCAGAAGGAGAAAUAUAUUUGAAGUCACGGCCACAGACUCUGUAAUAAAACAAAUAAUGAAAUAUACCACUUUAAAUAAUACAUUUUCCUGAUUAUUUCAUUUACACACCAUUUUACUUUACUUACUAUCUUAUCUUUAACAGUGUUGUGUAAACUAAGAUUUUUCAAAUUGAUAUUUCAUUUCAUGAUGUCUCUUAAUAUUAAACUCUUUAAUUACGGCAACUUUUAGACUCUUUGGCCUGUUUUUUGCGCUAGAACUGCACACCCUCUCCGCUUUUAGACUCUUUGGCCCGUUUUUCUGUGCUAGAAAUGCGCACUCUCUCCGCUUUCAGACUCUUUGGCCAGUUUUUCUGCACUAAAACUUCACUCUCGUCGCUUUUAGACUCUUUGGCCUGUUUUCUGUGCUAGGACUGCGCACUCUCUCCGCUUUUAGACUCUUUGGCCCGUUUUUCUGCGCUAGAAAUGCGCACUCUCUCCGCUUUUAGACUCUUUGGCCAGUUUCUGACAUCUAGCGUUCAAACUUUGAAUCUCACAUUAUAAAAACCUGUUUAACAGCGGGCCAACUUUUAUUCUAUUUCUAAAAUACCUCACGGGCCGCUCCAAAAAAGGAAACGGGCCGCAAAUGGACCACAGGCCGUAGUUUGGACAUCCCUGGUUUAGAGGUUGUUAGUUUAAAUAAUUAUUGCACACUUUCUGAAAUCCUAUGAACAUCAUUUCACAUCUUAAAUAUCACUGUGUUCAUCUAAUAUAUGAUGUAUUUAACUGAAACUGCAGAUUUGAAAAGGAAAAUCAUGAAAAUGAUCAGGGGUGCCCAAACUUUUUUAUACAACUGUAUAUACUAACUUACAGCAGUAUAUAGUUAAACGGUGAAUUAAGAUAAAUGUACAGUUCAUUUACAUAUAGAGAAAGUAAAUGUUUUAUUUGAGCAGGAAAUUCAUGAUACAGUAUGUCUGUGUUUUUUGGAAGACACCAGUAGAUUCUGGCAGCAGGAGUUAUUAUUGUUAUUAUUGUGUAACAGUGUAAAAUGACUGUAUGCAGUUCUGCAUUUCUACCACUCGGAGCUCUGCUGUUUCCUCCUGUUCUUCAGAGUCCAGAUUUACAGAACCGGACCGUUACUCUACUGCUGUGAGAAGAAGGAGAUCCACCUCAUUACAUCAUUGUCAUCAUCAUCAUCAUCUUCUGCUUCUGAGUCAUGAGGUUCUGGUGUGGUUCUCUCCUCCUGGGUCUGCUGAUCGUCCUCCACCUUCAGUCCUGUGUGGAGGCAUGCUAUGCACAGGCACCACUGACAUGCUGUUUCGGUUUCUAUAAGGGAAAAAUGCCUCUAGACCAAAUUGAGAAGUAUGAAGUAUUGAGAGGUGCCUGUCCACAUCCUGGAGUUGUUUUCACGAGAUGGGCGGGUAACCGUGUGUGUGCAGACCCUAAAGAGGACUGGGUGAAGGCGGCCAUGGCUCAGAUUGAUAAACGAGCUGAUUAAAGUUAAACUGAUCUCAGCUGAGAGAUUAAAUCAUCUCUAUGUUAAUAUCAGAUCAUCUCCUUCUUCUCUAUCCUGCUGAUUAUUACAGAUUAAUACUGUUUAUUACAUUUUUUAAAUGUGAAAUUUAUGUAUUUAUAUUUAUUUAACACAAUUGCUAUACAUACUAAUAUGUUUUUGUUUAUUCACAAAUAUUUUAAUGAAUGCAUUUUACACAUAAUUAUUUUCUACUUGGGGAAGCACAUCUGUCUCUGAUUAAACAGUUUUACUGAUUUUUUUUGUUUUGUUUUUUUUUUUACUUUUUUUUUACUAAAGAUUCUGUUUAGACUUUUUUUUUUUUUUUUGCUAUUUCAUGUUUCAUUAAUUAAAUGUGUAAAAUCAGUUCUGAUGUAAAUGUAAAAAGUCUGUAGUCUUUUAGAAUAAAUUGAACAAUGAAAAAAAAAAA